Molecule: signal recognition particle RNA, 281 nt
Filed under: Homo sapiens (human)
Lineage: Eukaryota; Metazoa; Chordata; Mammalia; Primates; Hominidae
Description: Metazoan signal recognition particle RNA
Rfam family: Metazoan signal recognition particle RNA
About the family: The signal recognition particle (SRP) is a universally conserved ribonucleoprotein. It is involved in the co-translational targeting of proteins to membranes. The eukaryotic SRP consists of a 300-nucleotide 7S RNA and six proteins: SRPs 72, 68, 54, 19, 14, and 9.
Source: Rfam by way of RNAcentral
GCUGGGCGUGGUGGCGCAUGCCUAUAGUCCCAGCUACUCAGGAGGCUGAGGUAGGAGAAUCGCUUGAACCUGGGAGGUGGAGGUGGAGGUUGCAGUGAGCCGAGAUCGCGCCACUGCACUGCAGCUGGGAGACAGAACGAGACUCCAUCUCUUUUUUUUUUUUUUUUUUUUUUUUUUUUUGAGAUGGAGUCUCGCUCUGUCCCCCAGGCCGGAGUGCAGUGGCGUGAUCUCGGCUCACUGCAAGCUCCGCCUCCCGGGUUCACGCCAUUCUCCUGCCUUAG